AGCGAACGCUGGCGGCAGGCCUAACACAUGCAAGUCGAGCGCCCAGCAAUGGGAGCGGCAGACGGGUGAGUAACGCGUGGGGAUGUGCCCAAUGGUGCGGAAUAACCCAGGGAAACUUGGAUUAAUACCGCAUGUGCCCUUCGGGGGAAAGACUUAUCGCCAUUGGAUCAACCCGCGUCUGAUUAGCUAGUUGGUGAGGUAAAGGCUCACCAAGGCGACGAUCAGUAGCUGGUCUGAGAGGAUGAUCAGCCACACUGGGACUGAGACACGGCCCAGACUCCGACGGGAGGCAGCAGUGGGGAAUAUUGGACAAGGGGCGCAAGCCUGAUCCAGCCAUGCCGCGUGAGUGAUGAAGGCCUUAGGGUUGUAAAGCUCUUUCGCCGGUGAAGAUAAUGACGGUAACCGGAGAAGAAGCCCCGGCUAACUUCGUGCCAGCAGCCGCAGUAA
Molecule: ribosomal RNA, 447 nt
Filed under: uncultured bacterium
Lineage: Bacteria
Description: partial 16S ribosomal RNA
Rfam family: Bacterial small subunit ribosomal RNA
Source: RNAcentral